GCCUAGCCCUAAAUCAUGACACUUUUCUCACUGAAGUGUCCGCCUGAGAACUACGAGCACAAACGCUUAAAACUCUAAGGACUUGGCGGUGCCUUAAACCCACCUAGAGGAGCCUGUUCUGUAAUCGAUAACCCACGAUACACCCAACCACCCCUUGCCAGAGCAGCCUACAUACCGCCGUCGCCAGUUCACCUUCCCUGAAAGCACAACAGUGGACACAACAGCCCUAACUUCGCUAGCAAGACAGGUCAAGGUAUAGCUUAUGGGGUGGAAGAAAUGGGCUACAUUUUCUAGCAUAGAAAACUUCACGGAAGUGGGUGUGAAAUCACCCACAGAAGGCGGAUUUAGCAGUAAAGGGAGAUAAUACAUCUUCCUUUAAGCCGGCUCUGGGGCACGU
Molecule: ribosomal RNA, 397 nt
Filed under: Threskiornis aethiopicus (Sacred ibis)
Lineage: Eukaryota; Metazoa; Chordata; Aves; Pelecaniformes; Threskiornithidae
Description: partial 12S ribosomal RNA
Rfam family: Bacterial small subunit ribosomal RNA
Source: RNAcentral